This 251-nucleotide ribosomal RNA is filed under the name uncultured bacterium. RNAcentral's name for it is "partial 16S ribosomal RNA". It matches the Rfam family "Bacterial small subunit ribosomal RNA", at positions 524 to 774 of the family's 1533-position model. The record is from RNAcentral.
UACGUAGGGGGCGAGCGUUAUCCGGAUUUACUGGGUGUAAAGGGAGCGUAGACGGUUAAUCAAGUCUGAAGUGAAAGCCCGCGGCUCAACUGCGGAACGGCUUUGGAAACUGAGUAACUGGAGUGCUGGAGGGGCAGGCGGAAUUCCUGGUGUAGCGGUGAAAUGCGUAGAUAUCAGGAGGAACACCGGUGGCGAAGGCGGCCUGCUGGACAGUAACUGACGUUGAGGCUCGAAAGCGUGGGUAUCGAACA